UCUCCGUCUCCGCCAACCAGUACUGGGCAUCUUCAAAAGAUGAUUCCCCUACAAAAGUAGAUGGGUUCAGUUUCCUGUACCUUUCUACGUAGCCUGGGUCAAUCAUGGAAGGAGUUGGGUCCCGCGGAAGAGGGACUGGGGCAGGCUGAGGAUUGACUAGGGGGCCCUGUGGUGGUACUUGCUGAUAUGGUGGGGGCACUAGAUUAUAUUGUAGCGGUACCGAGCAGUACUGUGGGUGGGGCACUGGAUUAUACUGCGGCUGUGGCACUGAGUGGUACGGUGGAAGAGCAGGCUCAUACCGAGGUGGCUCGGGAUCCUCUCGCUGUAGUGGUGGCUCAACCUGUGGCUGUGGAGGAGGAUCGGGUAGCUCCCUUCUCUCCUCUCAACCCUGCUGGACAGCAAUGAGUCUCUUUACAUCUCAAAUAUCCUGUCAAUGUCUUCCCGAAGUGAACCAUCCCGGACUGCUCGGUUUGGUGGGGGUCUUCCUCUUCUCAUCUCUCUGUACCUGCAUUUCACAAGGAAUGGUUGAGUAAUGAUUUAUUGGCUUGGUGUUCCUCUAAGUAUCACUGUAUAAAGGACGAGUCCAAGGAACGUGGCUCUAAUACCAACUGUAACGACCCCGAAAAUUUAAAAGGAAAUACAUAUAAUAAUAUGAGUGCGCAAGCGAAAUAAAAGAUUAAGGUUAAUAUCCCUUACACAAUAACUUAAAAGUACUAAACAAUAUCACAGAAUAAGUUCUCUAAAAGAAAUACGAGAAAUGAAAAAAAUAAAGGAAACUAUAAAGUAUCUAGCAUCUACUCGCCAUCUUCUUGUGGAUCGGACUCGGGAACCAGAUCCUCCUGAUCUGAAAUGGUUAAAUAAGGAAUGAACUACACUAGUCCAGUGAGAACAUCACAUUAUAUUACCGUCAUAGAAGCAAAGGUAGGUAGCAAACCAAAAACAACCAAUGGAGCACAAAUUUUAAACCAAUAUAGUUAUUUAAAAUAAAACCACUUAUCAUUUUUCUUACACUUGGAGAACUUGUGAAAGCAACUUAUAAAGACAAUAACAUCAUACAGAUCACAAUUUCAUGGAUAAUCAGUAACAUAAAACACAUCAUAAGCCCAUAUUCAUUAACCAUAAUUGACUAUCAUCAUUUCUCGUUUUUCACCAGCCCGCUAGUAUCCAUGGGGAUCCAUAGGGGUCCCCACUACACGUGAACCAUUCCCUUUAAAACAAUCUUAGUUCCAGGGCUGUUCUCAUACCCCGUUCGGUAUAAGCGCCAAAAUAAUAAACCUCAAUAUCCCGUCCAGUAUGAGGGUGAAGCAGGCCGUCCCCAUACUCCGUCCGGUAUGAGUGCCGAAUGACCAAGUCUCCAUACCCUGUCCGGUAUGAGAUAACGUUCACGGUAGGGUUUCCUAUGAACUCGGUCCGUCCACCAUCUCCUAAGAUAUCUAGUGAGGCUGUCAUCUUAUCUAUUUAUCAUAUCACAUCCCAUUCCUAUUUGUCCUUAGUCUCUGUUACCAACUCAAACAUAAAUACAUAAACAAGUAACGUGCAUCCAACAAAGCAAGCAUAUUUUAGAUUCCCAAAAUCAAACAAUAGUGAAGUAAGCAGUAAUUCAUGCAUUUAAAACCAUAAAAUAAAUAAACCAGAUAUCAUAAUGUAUUUAAACUGUAAAAUAAAUCAAACAGGAAUCGACAGGGAAUAAUGUCCGAUUUUGGGCUCCAUUAGUAACCUUAAUUAAUUGUGCAUAUCUAUUAAUUGCACUAAAUACGGUAUUACCAUUUAUUCAAACUUUAAUUCCAUGACAGGAAAUAAAGUGAGAGGUUCUUACUUGAUUUGACAUCGAAAACUAAAUUUUCAUUGCACCUACAGGCGGUCUCUAGGUUUUUUGAAUUUUUUUCGGGAACUGAAACGCGCUUACGGUACUUACACAAGUCCCAAAUAACCCAAAAAUCAGACCCAGCGCCUACUCGGCCAAUUUCGAAAUUCUGGCACAGCGACUUCUCCGUGCUCCGUCGACGGCGUUGCCGCGAUUCGCCUCGGGUUGGCUGUUUUCGGCAAAAUUCAGCCAAACUUGCAUCGGUUCCUGUGAGAAAACACACUUAGAGCCUUCGGUGGGCCAAAAAAUAGAAAAAAUCGAAACUUACCGGCGGUGGGGGAUCUUCGGUGCAGCAGCUCCUCCGACUCACGUCACGGUUGGGUGUUUUGCUCCGGUCAACCUGUAGAAGAGGAAACGGUGAUUAUAUCGGUGAAAAAAUCACAUCGAACGGGAAUCAAGAAGGGCUUCAUUGGAGGCAAAAACUGAGACAUCCCGCCGCGGCGCCGCCGUUGAGCUUCGAAUGCAUUUUCCGGCCAAUUGGCCAGUGUUUUCACUCCAAUUUGGCCAUAGUUGGGUUUAGAAUCAAAAUUUGAGCAAAUGGUUGAAUUUUUACCUCGUUUGACGGCCGAAAAUUACUCCAGUAUGACGGCGGGUGGCGACGGUCAGUUCCCCAGCAGCUGGGCUGUCUUCUCUGGUGAGGGGCUUUGGCGGCUAGGGUUAGGGUUUGGGUGCCGAUGAGUGAUUUAUACCCAUUCGGUUUUGAUCUGAGUCAUCCAUCGCUUUUAAUUUGGAUCGUCCGAUCGCGAUUAAAUAGGAAAUGAAUCUGGACCGUUCAUCGUGAUUCAAUCUGGGCCAUCCGUGCGCGAUGCAAUCUGGGCCGUCUCUGCGCGUUUUUGAUCUGGGUCGUCCCUGCGCGCGAUAACGGAUCUCAGCUGUUGAUCACGCGCACGCGGAUCGCCCACGUGGCUCCCUCCUACGUGGCCUCCCGCGUCAGCGUCUUAGCCACCUGGCGCAUCCUUGUCGGUUGGGGCUGCUAACCGAGCAGCUGACGUAGCACAACUUUUUUAAAUUACGUUUUGACCUCCAAUUUUUGAUUUUUCUAUCAAAAAUACCCCUAGAGCCCAAAUUUUCACCAAUUUUCCCCAAAAUUAUUUUCAAUUAAAUCCCUAAAUAAUUUUUACCCUUUAUUAUUAUUAUUAUUAUUAUUAUUAUUAUUUUCAUUAAAAUAAAUUAAAUUAAAUUAAAUUCUAUUAACACUAAAUUAUAUUUAUAUAGAAUAAAUUAAAUUAAAAUAAUAUAAUAUAAUAUAAUAAUAAUAAAAAUGAAAAGAAAUUUUUGGGUGUUACAAUGGCAGUUAGGGUUCAAGUUCCUGUGUGAUGCGAAAUAUUUAUAACCAUCCUGCGUUGAUGUGGACCGUCCAUCGCAAUCGAUCUCGUCCGUCCAAUUGCGCCUAAAAAAUAAACGAAUCUAGAUCGUUCAUCGCGAUUGAUCUCAACCAUCCAAUCGCGCCUAAGGGAGAAACGAAUAUGGACUGUCCACGCGUGCAGGAUCGAUCCUGGGUUGUCCGAUCGUAGGGCACGCAGAUCGCUAUCUGUUUCUAAUUUUUCUUUCAAAAACAUCCACAUAACCCAAAUUUUCACAUUUUUUUUCCAAAAUUAUUUUCAAUCUCGUCACUAAUUUAUUUUUUCUCAAAAUUCUACUUAAAUAAAACUAAAAUAAAAUAAAAUAAUUAAUUAUUUUAAACUGCUAAUUAAAGGAUAAAAAAUUUGUCUUGGGUCCGAGUAUUACAACUCUCUCCCCUUAAGAAAAUUUGGUCCCUCAAAUUAGUCACUCUCUCACUCAGUCGAGCAGCUGGUUGGAACUGGGCCCUGAAGCUUGAUUCCAGUUCCCAAGUGGCAUCUUCCUGCGUAUGGUUCUGCCAUAGGAUCUUAAUGAAUAGAAUUUUUCGAUUGCACUACUCUUUAGGUCUACAAUCCCUACCGGUACCUUUUCAUAUGAUAGAUCAUACUCGAGUAAAAAGGCUUCAUGGGAUAGGAUGUGUGAGGGGUCCUGGUUGUACUUGCUUAGUAUAGAUACGUGAAACACAUAAUGAACUCUGGAUAGCUCUAAAGGUAAUACUAGUCUGCACGCGGUCAUACCAAUCUGUUCUAAGAUCUCAAAUGAUCCGAUGAAUCGGGGAUUUAAUUUUUCCCUAUUGCCAAACCUAUUGAUCCUUUUGAAAGAAGUGAACUUGAGAAAUACUCGAUCACCUUUCUCAAAUUUCAAAUCCCUCCUCCGGAGGUCUGCAUAACUUUUCUGUUUGCCCUGAGCUGUCUGGAUAUUCUUCUUAAUCUUAAUUAUCUUGAUUAUAGUCUCCUCCACAAAAUUUGGACUGAAUAAUUUUCUAUCACCCACAUCUUCUCAACAAAUCGAUGAUUUGCAUGGGCAGCUAUACAAUGCCUUGUAAGGAGCCAUACCGAUACUUGUCUGAUAACUGUUAUUGUAGACGAACUCUAUUAGAGAUAGGUGAUCAUCCCAAUGGCCUCUCAAAUCUAGAACACAACCUUGGAGUAUAUCCUCUAAUGUGCGAAUCGUACUAUCUGACUGUCCAUCGGUUUGAGGGUGGAAUGCAAUGCUCAGGGAUAGUUUCGUUCUCAUAUCUUGCUGAAAACUAGACUAAAAUCGAAAAGUGAACCUGAGGUCUCUGUCGAAUGCCACUGACACUAAAACUCCAUGUAACUUGACUAUCUCUCGGACAUAUAUUCUUGUUACCUUAUUCAAUGAGUCGGUCAUCUUGUUAGCCAAAAAGUGAGAAUACUUAGUGAGCCGGUCGACAAUUAACCCAAUGGCAUCAUAUCCUGAGUGUGCCUUACGCAACCCUAUUACGAAAUCCAUUGUGAUAUGUUCCCACUUCCAGUCUGAAAUUGGUAAUGGCUGAAAUAACCCGCUCGGGCGUUGAUAAUCUGUCUUAACCUGUUGGCAUGCUAGACACUUGGAAACAAAGUCAUCUACUUUGAUACAUUUUAGUACUUCCGGAAUGUAUUGCGAAUUAGGAGAGCCUUUGUCAUAAUGUACGUUUUUAGUUCGUUGUCAUCUGAAAUACACACUUUGUCCUAAAACUUGAGCAAUCCAUCAGCAGAGACUCGAAAUUCUGGAUGUACUCCCUAUUUUGCAUCUUUCUUGAGGGCGGCUAUGAUGGAAUCGAUUAAUUAGCUUUCUCUUAUUCUCUAGAUCAAUUCGAGUUGGAUAGUAAGGUGGCCAAACAUGCAACUCUCUUUUAAGUGCUGAAGUCGUAUCUGUUGUGCCCUUAUUACCCUGCAUUCAGAAACCAUUAUAUGAGCUAACAUAACUGCACUUUUUCUGCUGAGCGCGUGAGCUACUACAUUGCCCUUAUCUGGAUGAUAUAAGAUAUUACAAUCAUAAUUCUUGAAGAGUUCUAUCAAACGCUUCUGACACAUGUUCAGAUCAUUCUGAGUAAAUAUGUGCUUCAAGCUCUUAUGGUCAGUAAAAAUCUCCCUAUACAGGUAGUGGUGCCAGAUCUUCAAGGCGUGGAUAAUGGUGGCAACUUUUAAGUCGUGGAUAGGAUAAUUUUUCUCAUAACUCUUUAACUGCCUGGACCAUAAGCUUUAACUUUACCAUGUUGUAUCAGAACACAACCCAACCCUAGGUAGAAGGCAUUACUGUACACUAUAUAUCCACAUGUCUCAUACGGUAAUGCCAACACGAGUGCAGUGGUCAAUCACUUCUUAAGUUUUGUAAAGCUCUUUUCGUAUUCUACGUUCCGUUCAAACUUAACGUUCUUUUUUGUGAAUCGGGUCAAUGGAACGCUUAGAUUAAAAAAUCCUUCUACAAACAUGCGGUAAUAACCUAUCAUUUCUAGAAAAUUACGAAUCUCUUUAACUGAUGUCAAUUUCUCACAUUCAAGUAUUGUCUCAACUUUUUCAGGGUUCAUUGAUACUCCAUGCCUUGAUAUGAUAUAUCUUAGAAAGCUAGUCUACUCGAGCCAGAACCCACACUUACUCAACUUUACAUACAGUUUCUUCUCCUUGAGAACCAGCAAAACCUGCGUCAGGUAGUGAACGUGUUCCUUUCUACUCUUUAAAUAGACUAGGAUAUCAUCAAUAAACUGAUCCAAUAAUUGUCUAAAAGCCCUGUUCAUUAAAUCUAUAAAAAUUGUUGGUGUAUUGAUUAGUCCAAAGGGCAUGACUAGAAACUCAUAAUGUUCGUACCUGAUUCUAAAAGUUAUUUUGGGAAUGUCCUCUACCCUGUUCUUUACCUAAUAGUAACCCAAAUGCAAAUCUAUUUUGGAGAAAACCUCGACACCCUGCAACUGGUCAAAAAAAUCAUCAAUUCUAGGAAGAAGUACUUGUUCUUGAUCAUACCUUGGUUCAAUCCCCUGUAGUCAAUUACACAAUCGUAAUGUCCCAUUCUCUUUUCUUACAAAUCCAACACCCCAAGGAUAUACACUAUGUCGGAUGAACUUACCGUCUUGCAAUUCAUUGAUUUGUUUCCUCAGUUCUUCCAUCUCGACACGAUUCUUGUUAUAAGAGACAACAGAGAUAAGUUGAGUGCUAUACUGAAGAUCUAUAGUGAAUUCAACUUUCCUGUGUACUGGCAGUCCGGAGAGCUCAUCAAGAAAUACAUUCAAGAAGUCUCGGACUAUUGGAAUCUCUUGAAUGCAAACUUCUUUAUUAGAUUUGCCUAUUGUAAAAAAGACAACAAAGUUAAAGCACUAUAUAAUGAAGAAAUUACCAUGAAAAAAUAAAAUUUAAAAUUUUCAUUAACUUGUAAAUAGUUAUUCGUUAGGAGAAUUGAAUACAAUUUUUUUGUGAAAACAAUCUACGGUGGCGUGGUACGACACUAGCCAGUUCAUUCCCAAGAUUACAUCAAAGUUCCCCGUGUUAAUCUUUAUCAAGUCCACACUCAAUUUUCCAUCUGCUAUAUCUAUGAUAUAACAUUUAUAUAUAACAUUUCCUAGUAGUGUCCUACUUCCAAUAAUAGAUACAAACAACAUAAAAUCAAAUCUUUCCGGUGAUAUAUUUAAGUUUUGUGUAAAAAUGUGUGAGACAAACGAAUGUGAAGCACCAAUAUCAAUCAAAACAUGUGCAAUUGUGAACUAACCAGUUCCAGCUCUAUUAGUAACUUAUAAUUAUUUUUAAAGUUUUCUAAUUUUUCACAAAAAUACAAAAUUAUACAUCAUUAAAGCUCAAUUUACUGUAACAGAGAGAAAGAUGAGGGAUUCUUACCUACAUCGGUGUUUCGAGACAUCAAGCUGUCUAUUACGCUUCCUAACGGGUACCGAGUUCCUUAAAUUUUUUUUUUAUAGAAUUCAAAACACUCGUUAGAUACAUAAAAAUACUCCAAAAAAUUAAAAAUUGAUGUCCAAAACUCAUUCCGACUAAUUUUGGGGUUCUGGCAUGACGUUGCCGUCGUGUUCCAGCGCCCACGGCGACGGUUCGCUUCGGCCUGACUAGUUUUGGUUGUAUCCUUGUAGAAAAAUAUGUUAAGGGCCUCGAUUGGCCAGAAAAUCACAAAACAAUCGAAUCUACCGGCAUGGAGGACCUCUGGGUGCAGCGGCUCCACCGAUUCUCCUUCGCAGUUGAGAUUCUUUCUUCGGCUACCCUGCACCGAAAAAGACGGUGAACACAAUGAUUGAAAGAUCACAUGAAAUGAAAAUCGAGAAGGGACUCAUAGAGGGAUUUUGAAGUUUUAGUCGUCGCGGCUCCGCCAAGUUUUGCCCACGAUUUCCAACUCACCCGCCAUCUCUCUUACUCCAAUUUAGCCACAAGGGUACUCGGAAUCAAAUUCCAAGCGGAUAGGGAGAAUUUUUAUCUUUUUUGGCGGUCCGUGGUGGCUCUGGUGCAGCGGCUGUGCGACGGAUUUGCAGUCGACCUCCUUCUCUAACAUCUAGUUCUUCUUCUCCAGCAGGGACUGACAGUUAGAGUUCAGAUUCUCGUGUGAUGCGAAAUAUUUUUAACCAUCCCGCGUUGAUUUGGAUCGUCCAUCGCGAUCGAUCCCGUUCGUCCGAUCGCGCCGAAUGAGGAAACGAAUUUGAACCGUUCAUCGUGAUCAAUAUCGAUUGUCUGGUCGCACCUCACGAAAAAAUAAAUCCGGACCGUCCACACGCGCGUGAUCGCUCUUGGACCGUCCAAUUGCAAGGCACACAGAUCACCAACGUGACCUCCCGCGUAGCACCGACGUCAGCGCACCUUACCACGUGGCGCGUUCGGGUUCGUCGAGACUACUAACUGGGCGGUCCUACGUGACCGAACUUUUUCUAUUUGCACUUUGACACUCUGUUUCUAAUUUUUCUUUCAAAAACAUUUCUAAACCCAUGUUUUCACCAAUUUUUCUUAAAAUUGUUUUUAAUAUUAUUUUUAAUUAAUUUUUUCUCAAAAUUUCAAUUAAAUAAAAAUAAAAUAAAUUAAUCAAUUAUAUUAAAUUAAUAAUUAAAAAAUAAAAACUUUAUCUCGGGUCGUUCUUCAAGCCUGGGUAUUACACAUACUCUGCCAUUACCAUACAACACUACAUCAAUGAACCACCUUGUAAGUUAUCUAAACGAGUCCUUAAAGAUUGAAUGGUAACGAAUAACAGAAAAAUAGUUAAAUCAAUUCUAAAGCAGGAAGUGCAAGAAUAUUUACCUGUAAAUUUUGAUUGGAAAGGCAACCGUGAACUAAAUCCAAUCUUCGUUUCUCUCUUGUGCCUCCUUUUGUGUUGUGAUAGUUUUUUCGUGGUUCUCAUCUCUAUAUUUCUUAAACAUAUGACUUGUAUUAGAGCUAGUUGGGAUCCAUGGGAAUUUUUGACAGUACUCGAUUCCAAGAAUCCAAGAAAAUGAAGUGAUGAAGCAAGUACAAGAUAUGGACAGGAGGUUGGAUUAGGAUAUGGGAAAUUUGAAGCAAAAACUUCGAGGAAUGAAACAAGAAUUAGGAGACAUGAAAAAAUUAUUGGCAAUGUUAGUAACACAAUGGACAACCGAACCUGAAGGAUGAUUGGAUCAUAGCAACAAAAAAAAAACAAGAAAAGUAGAAUGAGUUAAACAAGGAGAUUAAGAGUAAAGCUGGAUUUUUCAUGAUUUGAUGGGGAACAUUUUAAAGGCUGGCGAUACAAGGUGGAAAGAUACUUUGAAAUUGAUAAAAACAGCGUAGAUUUAAAGGUAAAAUUGGUUUCUUUAUUUUUGGAAGAUGGUGCACUUGAGUGGCAUCAGACCUUAACGGAAAAAUAAAGGGGUCAUGGCUUAGUUGGAAAGAAUAUAUUGAAAGCUUGGAAGUCAUCUUUGGAGAAACUGCAUACAACGACCCCAUUUAGAGCUAACCAUGUUGAGGCAGGAAGAAUCUAUAGAAAAAUACUUCAAGCAAUUUAAUAUGUUAGUGAGCCGAGUUGACCUCAUUAACGGAUAAUAAAUCAGCUUUUUCAUCAUAGGAUAGAAAAACAGAGUUGAAAGUGCUUGUGAGAGCUCCUAGCACCUUACAACAAGAACAGAGGGUUGGAAAAUUGCAAGAAUUUCUGGUUGCCAUGGACUGAAGCCUUAAAGCCUCCAUGACCAGAUACCUAUCAUAUAAAGAACAUGUUAAGUGGAGACAACCUAGUUCCACCUAUAAGAUACUUAGUACCUGGUCCCUCAUAUAAACAUUAUCCUAUAAAAAAAAAUCAGUCCCAACCCAAACCGACUGCCACUCAAGCAAAGGCCUUUAAAACAACCCACAACUAACCAAAAUUUUCAACCAACACAAAAAGCACAACUGGAUUAUUACCCACCACCCCAAAUACCAGAACUUUGAAGUUAAGCCCUCAUGCAUUGGGGGAAAAAUACUUAAAAGGAGUCGGCUACUUAUGUGAUGAGAAAUACUAUGUGGGCCACAAAUGCAAGAAUUAAAAACUGUAGAAACAGUACAUGAAGAGAAGAAGAAGAAUCAGGGAACAAUCAGAACCAGAAGGGAUAAAAGAGGCAAAAAAAAAAAGAUAAGAUAAGCAACCAUACACCUCCAUGCAUACCAUAAUGGGGAUUUACAGGCUGAAAAUUCAAUAAGCUCCAUGCGAGUUAAAGGAAGGAUAGGGAGAAGGGAAAUUCACAUGUUAAUUGAUUCAGGCAGCAGUAACAAUUUCCUUGAGGUUGCAGUUGCUAAGGAAUUAACAUAAUGUGGUCACCACCAAGCCAAUGUUAAUUCAAGUAGCCAGUGGAUACAUUAUACAAUGCAGACAAUACAACAAAGACCUAUAGUAGAGUAUGCAAGGAGAGAAGUAUCAGGCAACUUCUUUUAUUGUACCACUCGGAGGAGACAAAGCUGUGUUAGAAAUCAGUGAUUAACCAAACUGGAUGAUAUAGUUUGUAUCUCUAAGCAGCUAACAAUGAUACAUAAGAAAGAAGAACAGUGGGAAAGGCUUGAAGGAGAAAAGGAAACAACAAUCAAACAGGUCUUUGAAGUAAAGAUGAUGAAAUUAAUAAGAGGUCUACUAGCUCAGUUAUGGAGCAUUAAAACCAAUUUCACCACUGGCAGACUCGCCUAUGAAAUCCAUAGUCAACCACAACAUUUUUAACUCAAGUACAGCUGAUCCUCGAUCAGUUUGAAGAUGUUUUUGAUACUUCAACCAUCCUACUUCUACAUUGCAACCAUGACCAUCAAAUCUGACUUACAAAUCCUAACAAGACAGUAAACAUAAGGCCCUACAAGCACUCCAAAGAGUAGAAAGAUGUUAUUGAAUAGAUGGUGAGGAGUACUAGAAUCAGGGAAAGAGAGACUGGAAUAAACGGACAACAUAAAACCUAUUACAUGGGUAGCAAAAGAUUCAUCAGAAAUCAUGGCAGCAUUAAACCCCUUAGUAAUAUGCUCAAAGAAGGACACUUCAAAUGGAAAGAUGCAGCAGUUCGAGCAUUUGAAGAAUUGAAGGACAAAAUUACCAUAGUACCAAUUCUGACGCUUCCCAACUUUAAUGAACAGUUUGUGGUCAAAACAGAUGUCUCUUAAGAAGGCAUGGGAGCACUGUUAACGCAAAAGGCCACACCAUAGCUUUUAUCAGCUAAGCUUUUCAGGUUGAACACUUUUAUUAUUUGUUUAUAAAAAAAGAACUCAUGGCUCUUGUCUUUGCAGUUUCCAAGUGGCAACAUUACUUGAUGGGUAGGAAAUUCCUUGUCCUAACAAAUCGUUAUAACCUUAAAUAUCUAGUCCAGAGAAUGACAACUAUAACACAGCUCCGGUGGCUAUCCAAAUUUAUGGGCUUUGACUAUGAAAUUGCAUAGAAAAGGGAAAAUAAAAUAAGGUGGCAGAUGCACUUUUCUUGGAAACUCUUCAUGGAGAUAAAGCAAACAAAUUUCCCUAUUCACAACAAAAUUAAUUCAAGAGGUUCAACCAAGUUACCAAGAAGAUUUGGUAGUACAAAGAAUCCUGACCAAGCUGAACCAAGAACAAACCGGCCAGUCUUCAUUCAUUAUGCAAGAUGGAAUUUUAUGGAAGAAAGGCUGCCUGGUAAUCAGCUCUAAUAUGGCACUUCUGAACAAAAUCAUCAAUUAGUUUCACACGAAGCCAGUGGUUACUCACUCAGGGGUUCAAGCUACCUUUAAAAGAGUAUCUUUACUCUUUUUAUUGGAGGGGCAUGGAAAAGGACAUGCACAACUGCAUUUGCAAUGUGAUACUGGUCAAUGUUAUGAGACAAUUGCUGCCAUAACCUUUACGGUUACAGCAAUUACAAAUCCUUCGCAGUCCCAAGUCAGGAGUUUCCAUGGACUUUAUUGAGGGGUUUCCUCAAUCACAUGGGAAGAAUUCCAUCGAGGUAGCUGUUGACGGACUCACCAAAUAUUCCAAUUUCAUAGCCCUCACACACCUUUAUUCAGUUCACACAGUGGCCAAGAUCUUCAUGGACACUAUUUUUUGCCUCAUGGGUGUCUAGAAACGAUAGUCAGUGACCGAGACAAUAUUUUCAUCAGCACUUUUUGGCAAGAGUUGUUCUAGCUUCAAGGAGUGGAACUUGCUACUCCCACUGCACACCAUCCAUAAAUGGAUGACCAAACAGAAGUUGUAAAUCGAUGCUUGAAAACAUAUUUGAGGUGUACGUAACAUGAACAGCCUUCCAACCGGUCCCAAUGGCCCCUGAUAGCAUAAUAUUAGUACAAUACCAAUUUUCAACCUCUAUACAAACUGCACCUUUUGAAGCUCUAUACGGGUAUUUGCCACCUGUACAUGUUCCUUAGGUAUCGGACAACUCUAUUACACACAGCUUGGAAACAUUUCUACAAGAAAGGGAAGCUACUCUACAGCUUCUCAAAUUCCAUCUAUCAAGGGGACAACAAAGGAUGAAACAACAAAUUGACAAACGUCGCACAGAUAGGGAAUUUCAACUGGGGGACCACGUCUACUUGAAGAUUCAACUUUACUGACAGUAAACCAUAGCCCUUUGAUCUAAUUCAAAGCUUGACUCCAUUUACAAAGUGUCCCUUCUUAAUCCUCUAUAAAGUGGGCAAGGUUGCUUACAUGUUCCAACUGUCGCAGGGUAGCAAGCGUCACCUCGUAUUCUAUGCGUCAUAACUUAAAACGCAUCCUUGCCAGUUUCCUUAUCACAGAUUAACAAGCCUACGGUGAAGCUCCAAAUCCAAUGGUCAGGCGGUCACAGUCCUACUUAGGAAGAUGCAGGUCACGUAAACCCAAAUUUUCCAGGAUUUUCCCUCAAGGACAAGGGACUGUAAAGAGGAGCUAUGAUAUGUUUAAAAUAGCUAGGGUUUCAAUUUAGGGAUUCGAUUGGGUAAUUAGGAAUUGAAUUUAAAUGAUUGCUACCAUUAGGGAUUAGACCGUAAGAAAUAACAAAAGAAUAGUUAAAUCAGUCGUAAAGCAGGAAGUGCAAGAAUGAAUACCUGUAAAUUCCAAUUGAAAUGGCAACCAUGAACGGAACAUAAUCUUUGUUUUUUCUCUCGCGUCUCUCUCUGUGUUGUAAUAAUACUUUUGUGAGUCUCUCUCUAUGUUUCUUAAAUGUAUUAUUUUAUUUUUUAAAUGCGAACUAACCGGGAAUAUAUUGCGACAAAUUGAUGCAAAUAUGGUGAAUGAAGGAAGCUGUUGUUUUUGAGCGAAGAGUGGGAGCGGUUAUUCUCUAAAGCACCCAUAAGUUGUGAACUUGGAUGAAGUAUUCUUCAGCAGCUGUGAAGACCCUUACAAAUCCCUUAUAUAGGCAGAAUUUAUUGCAUAAACUAAGAUUUACGGCUCAAGAAAUUUGUCUAAUCUACAUAUGGAGCAAAAUUACAGCACUGACAUUUUUUGUUGAGAAUUAAGCAGCAAUUGCAAUUUUUCCCAAUUCGGUGGUUUAUGGGAAAAUUAAACCUUUUAAUUUGUUUACAAAACCACUUCCCCCUUACAGGUUCGAGCUUUUAAG
RNAcentral lists this long non-coding RNA (13135 nucleotides) under Carica papaya (papaya). RNAcentral describes it as "long non-coding RNA (CPAP_LNC003798)". Lineage: Eukaryota; Viridiplantae; Streptophyta; Magnoliopsida; Brassicales; Caricaceae. The record is from RNAcentral.